Molecule: ribosomal RNA, 1499 nt
Filed under: uncultured marine eukaryote
Lineage: Eukaryota
Description: bacterial SSU rRNA
Rfam family: Bacterial small subunit ribosomal RNA
Source: RNAcentral
GAGUUUGAUCAUGGCUCAGGAUGAUCGCUGGCGGCACGCUUGACACAUGCAAGUCGAACGGGGGUCGAAGACCCCAGUGGCGAACGGGUGCGUAACGCGCGAGGACCUACCCUCGGGAGAAGGACAACUUGCGGAAACGCUCGCUAAUACUUCAUAGGUCGAGGGACGAAAGGAGAGCAACUCCGCCCGGGGAUGGACUCGCGUCUGAUUAGUUAGUUGGGGGGGUGACGGCUCACCAAGACCACGAUCAGUAGCUGGUUUGAGAGAACGAUCAGCCACAUUGGGACUGAGACACGGCCCAGACUCCUCCGGGAGGCAGCAGUGAGGAAUCUUCCGCAAUGGGCGAAAGCCUGACGGAGCGAUGUCGCGUGGAGGAACGAGGGACUCCGGUCUGUAAACUCCUUUUGCUGGGGGCGAACCCUGACGGUACCCAGAGAAUAAGCAUCGGCUAACUCCGUGCCAGCAGCCGCGGUAAGACGGGGGAUGCAAGCGUUAUCCGGAAUCAUUGGGCGUAAAGCGCCUGCAGGCGGUUCGGCGAGUCCGAGGUCAAAUACCACGGCCCAACCCUGGGAAGGCAACGGAGACUGCCGAACUAGAGGAUGGCAGAGGUAGGGGGAACUCCUAGUGUAGCGGUAAAAUGCGUAGAUAUUAGGAAGACCACCGGCGGCGAAGGCGCCCUACUGGACCAUUUCUGACGCUCAGAGGCGAAAGCUAGGGGAGCGAGAGGGAUUAGGUACCCCUGUAGUCCUAGCCGUAAACGAUGGACACUAGAUGUCGGCAGAACGCCGGUAUCGUAGCUAACGCGUUAAGUGUCCCCGCCUGGGGAGUACGCUCGCAAGGGUGAAACUCAAAGGAAUUGACGGGGGCCUGCACAAGCGGUGGAGCAUGUGGUUUAAUUCGAUGCAACGCGAAAAACCUUACCAAGACUUGACAUGCCCCUCCGAAGAGGGAGGGGACACAGGUGGUGCAUGGCAGUCGUCAGCUCGUGUCGUGAGAUGUCUGGUUGAGUCCUGUAACGAGCGCGACCCUCAUCGUAAGUUGCCUGCGGGGUAGGAGCACAUGGGUGGGUCACCCCCUGAGCGGGCAAACUGGCGAGACUGCCGGCGAAAACCGGAGGAAGGUGAGGACGACGUCAAGUCAGCAUGCCCCUUACGUCUUGGGCUACACACGUGCUACAAUGGCCGUGACAAUGGGACGCUAACGAAAAGGGCGCUAACCCCAAACUCGGCCUUAGUUCGGAUUGCAGGCUGAAACUCGCCUGCAUGAAGCUGGAGUCGCUAGUAAUCGCUGGUCAGAAUACAGCGGUGAAUACGUUCCCGGGCCUUGUACACACCGCCCGUCACACCAUGGAAGUUGGUCGCACCCGAAGUCACCCACCGACGACAAGGCCACGUUGCUUUGUGGAGGGCGCCCACUGGGGGCUCCCUACGGCGCCAGUGGCCAGGAGGCGGUGCCGAAGGCGGGGUCAGCAACCAGGGUGAAGUCGUAACAAGGUAACC